AAUUGGGGCGUGGGUGUGGUUUGCCUCUCACUGUUGCAGGGCCAGCCUCUGCCCUGUCACCAGCCCACCAUUGGUGCCAACAGAGCUGGGGGAUCAAUCAAGAGGGGAGACCUGCCCUUUCUCUGCUGUGUUUCCUCGCCCAGCUGCACGUUGCAACAGAGCAGGUAAGGUAAAGAAGAGGAAGCUCAGCAGAAAGGACUCAGCCGGGGAGGAAUAUGAGCAGUGCAUCUGCCGCCCAGUGACGACAAGGUCCAUUUGAGGCACAGUGGGACCUGUCUGGGAGCGGGGAAAACCCUGCUCCCUCCUGGGGCCUCCUGGGAGGUUGUUAAAGUGGAGGGAGCAGCCAGAGAAAGUGCUUCUCUGUCUUUAUCCCCAGAGGCUGGACUCCUGGAUGUCAAGGCUGAAUUUCCCUGGCAGAUCUUUCUAGAAGAAUUUUCCCCAGAAUGCAGUACUUACGGGAGGAGAGUGUGUUCCCACGGUGUGUUCUGAAUUGUUGUUUGAGGGAUGACUGGGGAGAGUCUCUGAUUCCCCCCUCACACCCAUACCCAUCAUUUGCAGCCUGAGUGCCCCGGCAGAGGAAGUCCUCAGGCAAAGAAACUCAGUGAAGUAUUGACAAGAGGAGUAAAGGACUCAAAGGAGCAGCAGGAAAAGAGAGGAGUUGAAGACUCUUGCUAGGUUCAGAGAACCAGCUUUCCAGCUGCUGAGGGCGUAUGCUUCCACCAUGCCCCACAGUAACUCUUGAAGAAAGUGAAGUCUCUAAAGAUCUAUUGAUGAGCCCAAUUACUAAACACCUUUAACAAGAAAAUAUUCCUUCUGGGUCCUUUUCCUUCACAUUGCAUGAGUUCCAAGAGAAGGAAUUAGUGUAGUAGUUGAAUGAAUGGCUAAAGGAUACCUAUCGAUGGUGUGAGACUCUACAUGAGUGGAAUUUCCGACUAUAAGAGACACUUUGUAAAAAUUGUGAAUCAGAUACUCAUUUUUGUCCCACCUCUGCCAGGAUUUCCAUCUCUUCACCAUUCUUCACCAGGAUCAUGGUAGUUCCCACCCUGUCCCCUACCAAAUGGGUCCUACUUGGCAGUGUCUUGUGUUCUGUUUUUCUCUUCUCCCUUCUUACCCCUACUAUGAAUGAUAUGUAUUUUACAUUUUCUGGAGUCUAAGCCUUCCUUUUCUUCAGUCCCUCAUUCCUCCAUCUCUAUCCACUAAUCUAUCCUGUCAUUUACCCAUCUAUCCUGUCAUCCAACCAUCCAUCCACCUAUCCAUCCAACAUCCAACCAUCCAUCCACAUAUCCGUCCAACA
Molecule: long non-coding RNA, 1294 nt
Organism: Lemur catta (Ring-tailed lemur)
Lineage: Eukaryota; Metazoa; Chordata; Mammalia; Primates; Lemuridae
Exons: 3
Source: RefSeq, a predicted model, not a curated record